This 3483-nucleotide long non-coding RNA is filed under the name Triticum aestivum (bread wheat). RNAcentral's name for it is "long non-coding RNA (TAES_LNC004350)". Lineage: Eukaryota; Viridiplantae; Streptophyta; Magnoliopsida; Poales; Poaceae. The record is from RNAcentral.
GAAAAUCGAAAGUGCAGCAGGAACAACACCCAAUGCAUUAGUAGUUCUCAUGUGCCUUUGCAUUUGCAAACCAAUUGUCCACAAAAAAUAGAUAUUCAGAUUCAUAACAGAAACCCCGAAUGUUUUAGUAGUUGACACAGAGCUUCAAUGUCAAGUGUUUCAGUCUAACUAUCUGCUACAAAUUCAUGAGAAGUCAAUUGUCUAACCUACAACGGUCAGAACAUGGCAGCUUGGCAAGGAACUUCCUUGAACAGGAGAUUGUGGUGGACCAGCAAAUCAAAUCAACAACAUCAGUAGUAACUGGAGAUUGGGGCAGGCCAUUGCCAUGUUAACUCUCCCAUAGAGGGUCUUGGACAUGUUUUACCGAUACAAAAAUUGAUUAGUAACUUGAACAGCGAUGAUGUUGAUAACUGAAAUUAGGCUCCUUCAUGAUGUUGUCACCUGUUUAGACAUCAUGUUUAUUUUAUAAGCUCAUCUGGUGAGCAUAGUUAUGCCCGACUGAUGUCCAUUAUGUAUUCAUAGGUUGUAUACGUGAGAAAAUUAUGCUCCAAUCAAUCUCCAUAAGGUAUCCAUAGGUUCUACGUGAGAAGAGCCUGAAUUGCAUUCCUGGAGAGAACAAUAUUAUCCAAGCACGCGAUACACAACAAAUUGAACCCAAAUCCAAAGUUAGUGUGGAUUAAAGUAUAAACCUGCAAGAAAAAGUUUGAACAAAAUAUUGUGAGAAAAUGAACCUGCACGGAUGAGGAAAACAGCUUUGAUGCAAUAAGAUAGUUUAGCACAGUGGAUCCAUGACCCAAUUUUGUUUUGAAAGAGACAUGGGUUAGCUUUCCAUGGAGUGGGAGGUGGCGGGAGGCAGAGACAUAACGCAAGAUUGCUUGCAGUUGUUUUUGAACCCGGAGAGGAAGAGAUGGUGGAGAAGCAGUGAUCUCUUUCCGGCCUGGAGGAAGAAGUACAGGGCGUCAUGUCCAUCAACAAUAGUGUUUAAUCUUUCUGAUAUUACUGCCACCUAAUGAUGUUGUAUCUUUUUCCUAGCAUACUCUUGUUUUCAUUCUUAUUAUCUAGUUCUGCAAAUACCCUUUAUUUGUUCUGUUCAGUGAGCAUGAUAAUAAUUGACAAAAGGGCAGCAUGUCGUGGACCACAUUUAUAGCAAUUAAGUGAGUCAAUUACCAGAACUUGAGAAAACUAUACGUUCAGUAUGCAGCACUCCCAGCUGCACUUUGAUAGAAAAAUAUAUGCGAAAAGCAUUCAGCGGAUCCGACAAAGAAACUGAAGCAAGUAUAACACAUAGUUUAAGAACAGGGGACCCUCCCAAUACUACUAUACCUGAUUUUGUCAACAAAGAGCAUAAUAGGUCGCUAGUUUGCUACAUCUUGAGGAAAGGAGCAUAUACACAAUAUUAUUAGUUGAGGGUCUCUGCCACGCAAUAAUUUGACAAAUAUGUUACCACAUUUUUUAAAACAAAUUUACAGUUUUCAAGAUAAAGAAAAGUAUUUGACAGCUUGCAUGGAAGGAGUUUUUACCUUAAACUGUGAGUGUCUUCGAUCAGGCCUUCUUGUGUGCUUGCUAUUCCUGCACAAUAGGCAAACAUGACAGGCUUUGCAUGAAAACCAAUCUGGAUCAAGGUGCAAAUCCAUUGACGCAGCUAGUCACAUAGAGGAUGUGACGUUACUAAGUUGGUGCACUGAUCGAUGGAUGCGACGGCGCCAUCUCGUCCACAACGACAACGUUAAGAAACAGCGUCGGCGGGGCGUGCACUAAUCAGUCCAUGCGACGGCACAAUCAUUCUCAUCGACAACGGCGGUAAUAAGGAGCAGUGGGCAUGGCAUGCACUGAUAGAUCCUUGUUGCGGCACCACCAUCUAGCGACAACAGCGGCAUGGUAUGUGUGUGUUGCCGUAUAUACCGACUCAAGAAUAGUAGUAUAUAUCGACUAAAAUAUUAUGUGUAUAUACUUACUAAAAAAAGUAGUAAGCCGAUUCACAAAAAAAUACUAUGUAUUGCCUUGCAAAAAAUUUUGUAUACACUGCAUCUGAAAAAAGUGUAUACUUACUUCAUUAAAAAGUAUGUUAUAUACCCCCUUUGAUUUAAUUGCGUAUGCUAUAUACUGCCGUGCACAAAGAGCACUGUACAUACUACUUGGUUGUAGAUAUAUAUAGACAAAAUACAGUACAAUAGUAUAUACUUGAAAUUAGCACCUUAUAUACUACUUCUGAUGGUAGCAUAUACCACAAGGAAAAUAUAAAAAUGACAUCAGCUGUUCUAACCAGUUCUAAAAUGUGGAAUAGAGUCCAUGGUAAAAAUGUGGUAUAUACUCCAUUACAACAAAGUUAGUAUAUACAAUAUGACAAAAAUAUUGUUCUGGUAUAUACUGAUUAUUGACGCCAUACUCCGUCCAAAGCUCCCAAGGCACGGGAAAAAAAUAGAAGGACCGUAUAUUUUCAAGAGUUAGCAACUUGGUUUCUACUCUCAUAGUCAUAGGUGCAGUAGUAUUUCCUCCGUGAAUUAACAUGCCUUUGCCAAAAGAUGCUAAUCAUACAAUGACCUUGUUUCUGUAGCAUAAAUGGAUGAAGCAUCAUUGAUCAAUACUUGGACGGGGAAUGAAUUGCUUCUUGUGGGAAUCAGCAGAGACGUUUUAUUGGCAAAUAAAGCUCAAAUCCUGCAUACUAAACUGCAGUACACUGGGAAAUAGAAAGCAAUGCAUAGGGUAUUAGGUAAAUUAAAAUAUGGUAAGGUUCAUUAGGUUAAAGCAGAACCCUAGCAAUUAAAAACAAAAUUGCAUUGUCCUCUGUCAAAUUCAAUCCAAUCGACCACUCUCGACUAUUAGUAUUAACUGAAGCACCUAUUAACAAACUAACUAAACCACCAUGAUUGAAAAAACUAUCUAAAUCACCAUUGUGCAGCCAGAGGAUUGUACUAUUGACCAAGUUCCUCGGCAAACCCAAGUUCGCGCGGUAGUGGAGAUUAUGCCCACGAACAUGGAAAUCUAGUAGUACUCCACCUAGAACACCCGUGAAUUUUUCCAACCAAGUUCCAUGAGAGAACUUUAGAGAAGAAAAAUAUGGAACUUUAGAGAAGAAAAAUUACCUUGCCCAGCAACCACUGAGAACAUGGUCGAAUUUGCUACGCGUAGUGCGUUCUUCUCCGGAGACUUCCGCGCCUCGGCGGUCCAAAGUGUGGAGGGGCACAACAGGACACCAUUGUUGUCACAUAUAGGCAUCGCCGCAGGAGAGGAGAGAGUCAUGUGUCAUCGUAAAUGCGGAUGUGACGUUCGAUCUGAGCGGAGGAGCAGGAGGUGGGGAUAGAUCAACGGACGUGACACAGCCCGCCUCCUGCGCGGUUCCUCGACCAGACGCAUCACCGCCACUCGACUGGAAGUAGCCAUCGCCGCGUGCUGGUCCAAGGGAGAGGAUCAAGGAGAGAGAUGGUUAAGGUGGCGAUGGAGGUGGUGGGAUGCUACAGAGGGUGGAUGCGAUGGGCACUGGCG